This 2690-nucleotide long non-coding RNA is filed under the name Pan troglodytes (chimpanzee). RNAcentral's name for it is "long non-coding RNA NONPTRT011944". The record is from RNAcentral. Lineage: Eukaryota; Metazoa; Chordata; Mammalia; Primates; Hominidae.
CACCCCCUCAAAUAUGUCCAGCUCAGUUCCUGUGAGUUUAAUGCAUGUUAAACGCAGCACUGCUUGUUCUUCAAGGCAGUUAAGGAAGGAGGCCCUUCUGGUAUACCCCGAGCACACUGGGGUUCCUGGAUCAUUUCAUUAGGAAAAUUGCUCAGCGGCUCCAAAGAAUCUGGAGCUCCCUGGUCUAUCUCCCAGCCUCUCAAGCCUCCUCCAGCAGGGUCCCGCCCCAAAUUCUCCACAUUCCCCUACUCCAAAAUCUACAGAAUGGACCAUUUAAAGCUUGAGCCAAGAGAUACAGGAAACUCACCCAUUAAAAACAGAGGGAGGGUUGCUUUGUUCAGAAGGUCAGGAUACUGGGCGCUCUGGCGGCCAAGCACAGAUACCUUUUCAUUCCAUGCACACUGCAGCUGUGUAAUCUCAGAAUGGAUAUUUAGGGAAAGGCUUGGGAGCAGGAGGGCUGGAAAAACAAGGCGCCUUCCCUGUGACAAGAGCAAUAUUUACACAGGGUUUGAAGCAGGCGGUUCUGUACCUCUCCCCUCCUGGCUAGGAGCUUCCCUGCAAGAGCAACUCCUUCUCUCAGCAGCGUCCAGCACUUGCAGAGCACAGCCUGAAACCCAAGCUCCCAAAAAGGUGUGCGAACAGCCAAAAGGAAAUGGGAGAGGGCCCAGGCACAGCGGCAUGAGCCAGCAGGAGGGUGAGAUGCUUCCUGGCCAGUGUGGGAGACCCCAGCAGCUGUUGUGAGGCCUGGCCUGAAGCCUGCCACGCGCUCCAAGUGCCUAGAGGACCCCAGCUGGGCCCUCAAAGCCUCCAUAACAGUGACGCACUCACUGCGCACCACCCGAUGCCACCUGUUCAAAUAACUGCGAUUCACAGCAGGAAUUCUCACUACAGCCAGGAAAAGGAGGGGAAGAUCUGUUCUGACAUGGAAAGAUCUUUAAGAUGUCAAAGCAAAAACACAAGCUAUACCACACAGUGGAUACAGUAAGAUUCUUUCUGUAAGACAAAAGCAAAACUCUGUGUCUGCUUGUCUAAUGAACCAAUUAGCUAACCAACCCAGCAACCAAGAAUGAAGACAGACAAUGAGAUGACAGACAGGGUGAAGGUCCUCCCUUCCCAGAGACGUUUGCUUCUGGACCCAGGUGGGGGAGGAGGAGAGAAGAUGGAGUGGGUCUCACUUUAUUUACUUCUUCACUGCCUGUAUCUUUUAUAAUCAAACAUGUCCCAUCUGUGGCAAAGAAUAAAAAUAAAUUGUAAUGGGUCCAAAAAGCUUCAGAAUUCUUUGAACAUUUCAGUCUUUUCUCCUCCUCCAUUAAGAUCUGAGAGUAAAAAGAGGAGGAGAUAGGCUGGGACAGGUCUUAUUGCUGCUUCAGUGCAUUUCUGGGAGCCUGGUACCAUGAAAGAACAGAUGGGUAGGAGCCCACUUGGACGCAUCAUGAAUUCUGUGCAGGCAAAGAAACCCUCAAAAUUAAUGACACUGUGCUGUGUUCCCUGACUAUCAGCAUCCUGUUCUGAAAGUCAAGAAACUUGGCAGAGGAAGGAAUCUGAAUCACAACUAACAGUAAUGAGGUGUGAUAACACAGCCAUCGAGCUCUCACUCUGGAUUUAUCGCGGGUCAAACCGCAACUCCCAAAACAGCUUUGGACAGCAAGCGCCUCCGAAGUGUGCAUGACCCCAGUUUCCACGGGGAGCGCGUGUAAAAAGCUUCCAUGGGGCUUGAGGAUUUCCAUCUGGCUUGGUCCCUGGAGCUGGUUCAGUUAAGGCUUCAAGAAGCAGAGGAGUGGGUUACCUGUGGUGCCCCCUUCGAGUCCCGCGCCAUAGGCGGACACCAGGGCAGGGUUCCCCGCUUGUCCAGGCUCCCCAACGCGCACUUUGAAGGGGCUUCCAACCACGUGGCUCCCAUUGAACUUGACAUCGAUGGUGUGGACACCAUUCUCAUGAGGGAUGAAGCGAACAGCAUACUUAUCUAGGAGAAUGAGCAAAGGCACAGGGUGAAAUCAAGCAAAUGGACACCCCUGAGUUCAGUGAGGACAAAGGAUGGAGGCCAAGCCGAGAUGGCCCAUUUAAAAUCAACAGUUCUACAGGGAGCCUGGCACUCAGCAUCCUGGAUUUCAGAACCAGACAGACCCCCUGGGUAUCCCUCAUCAGCCCCAAGGGAAACGCAUCCACAUUGCAAAUCCUAUAAACACAGGACAAGACUCUGACCCCUGCCUCAGAACACUUCCUUUCUUUAGAAAACCUCACUUCUUCAAUGUGAAAUUCUGUGAAUGCUGUUACUAAUCCUGUCACGAGAUGAAUCUCAUUUCACCAAAAUUAAAUUAUGUUUUUCCACUAAAAUGAUGAUACAAGUUGAAGACACAGCACUCUGAAAUUGGAAGACCUCACCACUUAAGGCUCCACAGUGGCUUACUCAGCUGAACUCUAGGUUACUACUCUUUACUUUGUUCACCCACUGGGGGGUUCAGUUUGUUUUUAAACAUUGGGAGAUGGCCAUUCUAACUACUGUUGAAUGUCUCUGUUUUGGGAAGGCAUAACAAGAAAUAAAAAAGAAUAUAUAUGAAGGGAAAAAAGAAAACCUCACUUCUUCUACGUUUCUCUAUUUGGCCACUUGAAGGGGAAAAAAACGGUUCCAACUGGCAUUAAUGCUCCUUAAUUAAGCUCAAAGCUAGGAACUGCCCCCACAGGGCAGGUUU